Molecule: long non-coding RNA, 666 nt
Filed under: Helianthus annuus (common sunflower)
Lineage: Eukaryota; Viridiplantae; Streptophyta; Magnoliopsida; Asterales; Asteraceae
Description: hypothetical non coding rna
Source: RNAcentral
CCCAAAGAUCAUCAUUAUAAAACAACAGCAGCUCGCAUCAUCAUCAUCAUCAACAGCAGCUCGCAUUUUCCCAAUAAAUUCAUCAUCAACAACAGCCGAUCAGGUUCAUCUUCAUCAUCUUCGAUCAGGUUCUUCAUCGAUCAGGUUCAUCUUCAUCAUCGAUCAGCGUUGAUGUUGGAAUGGCUGCGGAUGUAAAGAUACUCAAAACACCAACUACGAAGGCGAGAUAUGUAAUCAUCGAGCUCUGGAUGGCGCGGUGCACACAAGGAAGUCAUUGAUAUGAAUGAAUAUAACUCCAGUGGCAGAUAUGUAAUCAGCGAGCUCUGGAAUUUCAUAUCGGCCACUCGGGUUAUAUUCAUUCAUAUCAAUGAAUGAAUGAACACAACCCCAGUGGCAGAUACGUAAUUAGUGAGCUCUGGAAUUUUAUAUCUACCGUUGGGUAACACUCAUUCAUAUCGGCUUCAUUCCGAAGUGCACCCGUCAGCAAAGAUCCACAAUUGCUUGUGGAUCUUUGACGUUUUGUCUCUAUUUGUAUGUUUCGAUCUUUUGUUAUCGAGUCUGUACGUUACGGUCUUUUGUCAUCGAGUCUGUACGUUACGGUCUUUUGUUAUCGAGUCUGUACGUUACGGUCUUUUGUUAUCGAAUGAAUAUAACCUAAUUGCUUGU